AGCCUCUUCACGCCUUCGGGCUGCUGUAGGAAGACGGCGGGGCGGAGGAAGGGAGCCGGGCUGUCCGUCGUGAUGCUCCCGAGGAGAGCUGCGGCGGCGGUCCGUGCCUGCCCGGCGGGUCGAGGCACCGCGCUGGGCUGCCGGCUGCGCGCCUGGAGCCGGGCAGCGCGAUGGAGCCCCGUGCGCGGGGAGCCGCCCUGGCGUGGCACGGAGCUGCCGGAGGAGGAGAGCUCGGUGUGAGGGUGGCUGACUGUGUGAGCCAAGUAGUUGAGGAAGAGGAAGGAAUCCACUUGGAUGACUUUUCCUGGAGGGAGAAGGACUUCUCUGAUCUAAUUGGGAAAAAGUUACUUGCAAUCAUGGACAACUGCAAGAAGCACAUCUAAGCUGGAAGAUAGGAGAGGAGCCAGCAUCUUGCCUGGAUAUUAAUGGCAGUGUCUUGUCUGACAGAGAACAGACCACCAAAGCAUGAUGAGCAAGAAAGCAAUUUCUCAUUCCUCCAUACCAGAAGACAACACCAGUUUAAGGUUUGAUGGCUUCUGAGGGUGGCUUGUGAGCUGAAGCUUCUCUCCAAACACAAGGACAGAGGCGUCUGUCACAUAACCCAUGAAGAACCAUCACCUGAAAACUGUGCAUCACCUCGUGAGAAUCUCAGUCAGGGAUCCUUCAGUGUGUGUCACAUGGACAAAAAGAAAGGGGGAAACUCCUCCUGCAUGAACACGGCCGCAGGAUUGUCUUAAAGGUGCCGAGUUCCCACAAUCCAUGUGCAGCACACACGGUCCUCUUCCCACCCAGACCAUCCCAGCAGGAAGUCCUGCUGGGCCAGCUCAGCCCCAUGGGUGCACCUGGCUGUGGACUUGCACUAACACCGCACGGCAGAAACCCUGGUGUGAGUCAUGUCCAUUUAAAUAUGGAAGCACAUCAUAAAACCUAAUGGAGAGUCCAAGAGGUG
This 949-nucleotide long non-coding RNA is filed under the name Gallus gallus (chicken). Its description in RNAcentral is "long non-coding RNA NONGGAT002741". The record is from RNAcentral. Lineage: Eukaryota; Metazoa; Chordata; Aves; Galliformes; Phasianidae.